AGCAGACAAAAUGGCCACCAUUGAAUAAUUAAUAUGCGGGUCCAUUAACAAGGCAUUAGAAUGCAUUCUAUCUCUUAUUGAUUUUUUCCUGUCUUUUUUUUUUUUUGCAUUGAAAACUUUUACUCCAUCCGUAGACCACUCUGCGUCCAGCGCUGGAGAGAGUGAAAUAUGGCUGCUGCUGUUUAAAUGUCAGCUUUGUAAUUACACAUGGAGCCACGAGCUGGGCAAUCCCUCGGCCUGAGGGCCUCUGAUUUAUGGUCAGGCGCUGAUGGUGACUGCACAGACACGUACAGACAAACAUACGUAUGCACAGAACAUUACUUUCCCUCACACGCACGCACAACCCAAACUCUGAUUACACCUUAUGUCACUGUAGAGUUUAUAUCCGUAGGAAUUUGAGGACAAAAACUCAUUAUGAUUAUUUUUAGAUAUAUGUAUGUAUACCUCUUUGGUUUUAGAAACUCCCAAGCACUCGACAUUCUAGAAACUGACCGUUUCAUCAAUUUGCCAACAUCUAAAUCUCUACAAAUCUCUUUCUGUGAUUGUAAUCUGUGACUUGUGUGCAGAUUUGUCUCCUUAUUUUAUCGUGUUCUUCUUGGUAUUUAUUGCGUGUUAUUUUUACUUCUUUAGAUCGAACGGUCCUUCUCAUCCAGGGCAUUUCACUGCAUUGUUGAUUUUGUUUAACCUGCAUAUGACAAAUAAACCAAUCUUGAAUCUCUUGAAUGUUGAAUCUUUUCUUGUUUGGUAGCGCUUACACACAUUAUGCCUCACAAAUGCACUAUGCAUGUAAACAGGUAGUGCUGAAAGAUAAUGAUAUCUAUUGAAAAUAAAAUCUGUGGGUCACAAAAAGUUGUGAAGACUUAAAGAUUUGAGACUGUUUAUAAUGAUCAUCUAGUCUAGAUAAUAAAACAAAGUUACUUCAACAAGCACGCCUACAUUAAAGGAUUAAAACUUUAAGCUGUACAGUUCUACCCUUGAAAUAAGUCAGCUGAUAACAAGAAAACUUCACUAACAAUACCAAAAUCUUUGUUUUCCAUAAUUGUAAAUUGAAUAUUACGACGGAAGAAGUUUUGUCACCUUUAAGAUGUUUUUACAGAUGCACCAAACCUGGAAAAUUCACUAUCUUGGAGGGAUGACAAUUUUUUUUUGCAUCAUGUCUCACCACCUGAGACAACCCCUUGACCAACAUUGAAAAGGUGGGAGGAGUCUAAUGGGGCGCUCACACCAAAAUCAUCUACUUGAUUAAUUCACACGAAUUUAGACACGUGAAUGAAUAAUAUUUACUCGCUUCAUUUGUGCGUCAACGGUAUUUUCAACGGUAAUCCCUGCCAAUUCAACCAGCAAUAGAUCAAGCGAUAGACAAAAGUUUUUUACAAUUUACCAGGUAAUCCGACCUCCUCACUCACUUGCCUCCAGGUGAGUUCCUUUUUAUUCCGGAUUCGGUAACUGAAAGAAAAGGUAUCAUACAAUUCAGGGCACCCACCCACACACCAACACGAUCAGUUUGUCCUCCAUUUUAGAUACCAGUGAACAACCCUCUGUUUUCAUACAUCACUCAGCAACCUUCAUGCUCAUUAGUUAUCACGAUGCGAAUAUCCGUUCAAGUUGAGACAUGUUUAGCUCCCGCUCAAUUCGCGUCAUUCGUGCCGCCAGACUAGUAGGAGCGUCUUAUCGCGUCUUUGCAUUGACUUAACAUGUAAUUCAUUCGCGCAAAUGAUUUCUCGUGCUUGGUGUGUACAGACGGUUAGGGUCCAUGACUGACUGAAGUUUAUUACAUGGAAUGUAAAUGGAGAGAAAGUGGGGUCCCAGUACAAUUUUUGUCGUCAGGGGGCCCUAAAUCUCUGGUGGUGCCCCCGCUUAUACCAGGAAAACUGCAUACUCUGUAGGAUAGAUAGAUGGAUAUGCAGCUUUGGAAAAUUUCAAGGAUGUCUAGAUAUUUACUAGAUAUUUUCAGAGGUACAACAAGUGACUUUGCCCCAAGUUGACUCCGAUGGGGAUUCUGUUCCCUCACUAAUUGGAGAGAAAAUAAUUACCGCAAUCCAUUUUUGGCUCUGCUUUGAUUUAUGGCUGUCAACAUUGUCAGUCCUUUUUCAAGUAUCUGUGAGACUCACAUAAAGUUCAGCCCAGCCCCCGUUUAUUCCUCUUGCCAGUAUUUUUGCUCAGUGGUCUAACACAGUGUCUAGUGGCAUGUGGGACACCCUAGUUCAAUACCCCCUCCCUUGUGCACACCGCCCAUCAGUCAGAUUCUGGGCUCAGAUACCUGCUGGGAAAACCAAUCUAUAACUGGACGAAUGGAGGAGGAGAGGCGAGGCCAGAUCAAUGUACAGAUAUUGAUACACGCAGCCAUGCAAGGAGACUACACUCCUUCUGAACUCAUUCUCUCGCUCACUGAAAAGAUUAGGAAUCCAGAUGAACUGCUGAGUAAGGUGUGUGUGGGUGUGUGUGUGUGUGUGUAGAUGACAAAAGAGACACUGUAACAGUGAGGCAGAUAGUACAGAUAGAGCAAGAGAAGAGAAAGAGGGAGUGGAGAUAUGCAGUGGAGGCACAGAUUACCACCACAGAGAUCAGUAAUGGUGUGAGGGGAGCAUGUCAAUAAUAAAUACCUCCUAUUACAGCACGGUGGACUGCUGCAGCAGCCUGUACAACACGACACCCGCUGACUCCCUGAUCUAUCCCAAAUUACCCUGAUGCUCUCACACUGAGCUUCGGUAGACAACAACACGCGCCAACUGCAUCAAAUGCGGAGAUAAACAGCAGAAAAAACUAUGAAAUGACACGUAGAGCUGCAGCAGUGGAGUCAUUUUGAACACUGUACAGAGGUCGAACAUCAGGGUUCGAUCCCCUCUGAAGACUCCCUGUUGGGGUUUGGACUUUUUUUUAAGAUUCCCCUCCCAACUCUUUAGAGAGAGACGAGACUUGACAUCCAGGUGUUUUAUAGUAUUUGUGGCUCUGAUCAUCCAUCAAGCCGAUCGAUCACUCUCCCAGCAGCUUUUAUUAAUGAUCUUGUCAGGCAGCCCGCUCUCGGGUGCAGCCGCUUGUCCAGAAUGAUAGAUCAUUAGCUAGUCUGCCUGCUAUUUAUUCUCUCAUGACCUUGUCUCUCUCCAUUGUUGAGUGGGCCGAGUUAUGAGAGCUAGAACAUGAUAAUUCACUAUUGAUUCUGAUUUUUUUUUUUCUACAAAAACUUUUUUACCUGUGCUCGACUGCAGAGACAAAGAUGUGGUAGAGGUAACAGAAGCAGUAUUUAAGUCAAUGUAGCAACGAAACAAAAACACUCAGUUGUUGGUUAAAGAUAUUCACAAUGUACCCAUUAAUAAAGAAAUGCUCUAUUAAGUAUUUCAUUGAUACACCAUUUGAUACUUUUUAAUCUU
Molecule: long non-coding RNA, 3368 nt
Filed under: Xyrichtys novacula (pearly razorfish)
Lineage: Eukaryota; Metazoa; Chordata; Actinopteri; Labriformes; Labridae
Source: RNAcentral